Molecule: ribosomal RNA, 467 nt
Filed under: uncultured bacterium
Lineage: Bacteria
Description: partial 16S ribosomal RNA
Rfam family: Bacterial small subunit ribosomal RNA
Source: RNAcentral
GACGAACGCUGGCGGCGUGCUUAACACAUGCAAGUCGAACGGAAAGGCCCUGCUUUUGUGGGGUGCUCGAGUGGCGAACGGGUGAGUAACACGUGAGUAACCUGCCCUUGACUUUGGGAUAACUUCAGGAAACUGGGGCUAAUACCGGAUAGGAGCUCCUGCUGCAUGGUGGGGGUUGGAAAGUUUCGGCGGUUGGGGAUGGACUAGCGGCUUAUCAGCUUGUUGGUGGGUAGUGGCUUACCAAGGCUUUGACGGGUAGCCGGCCUGAGAGGGUGACCGGCCACAUUGGGACUGAGAUACGGCCCAGACUCCUACGGGAGGCAGCAGUGGGGAAUAUUGCACAAUGGGCGGAAGCCUGAUGCAGCAACGCCGCGUGCGGGAUGACGGCCUUCGGGUUGUAAACCGCUUUCGCCUGUGACGAAGCGUGAGUGACGGUAAUGGGUAAAGAUGCACCGGCUAACUACGUG